RNAcentral lists this unclassified non-coding RNA (381 nucleotides) under uncultured Herpotrichiellaceae. RNAcentral describes it as "sequence contains ITS2". The stretch from base 1 to 153 matches the Rfam family "5.8S ribosomal RNA". Lineage: Eukaryota; Fungi; Ascomycota; Eurotiomycetes; Chaetothyriales; Herpotrichiellaceae. The record is from RNAcentral.
AACUUUCAGCAACGCAUCACUUGGUUCUGGCAUCGAUGAAGAACGCAGCGAAAUGCGAUAAGUAAUGCGAAUUGCAGAAUCCGUGAGUCAUCGAAUCUUUGAACGCACAUUGCGCCCUUUGGUAUUCCGAAGGGCAUGCCUGUUCGAGCGUCAUUAUCACCCCUCAAGCUCGGCUUGUUGUUGGACCAAGUCCCGUCAUACGGACCGGUCCCAAAGAUAAUGACGGCGGCUGUUGGACCCUCGUACACUGAGCUCUCGGGCACAUACGUGGCAGGACUACAGUCACCGUUUAACCCACAGUGCUUCGGCACUCUUUCUAAGGUUGACCUCGGAUCAGGUAGGAAUACCCGCUGAACUUAAGCAUAUCAAUAAGCGGAGGCU